Molecule: unclassified non-coding RNA, 316 nt
Filed under: Hevea brasiliensis (rubber tree)
Lineage: Eukaryota; Viridiplantae; Streptophyta; Magnoliopsida; Malpighiales; Euphorbiaceae
Source: RNAcentral
AAAAAAAUAAGGGAACUAUCCAAGAUUCAUAAUGGAACGUUAGUAGUUCAGCAAAACGCAAAAUUGCUAAAUUAAUCCAGACCAUCAUAUUAAGGACUAACUAGGGAGAAGAGAUGAGAUCACGAUUCAAUGCAUCAUGGCCUCAAUUCUCUUCAAAGGAGACCCAAAGAAGCACAGGCAGUGAAAAAAUUUCCUGCGACUGUUGGGUAUCACAAAUACAUACUACAAAAAGGUCCAUCCUUCAGUACAGUUUAUCAAACAGACGUUAUCAUUGGCUUGAGUAUAAUCUUGAUUUCCCAUUUUUCUGCCAAAAUGC